Molecule: long non-coding RNA, 2269 nt
Filed under: Homo sapiens (human)
Lineage: Eukaryota; Metazoa; Chordata; Mammalia; Primates; Hominidae
Description: HSALNT0125443
Source: RNAcentral
UGCAGCCUCAAACUCCUGGGCUUGAGCAGUCUUCCCACUUUAGCUUCACUAGUAGCUGGGACUACAGGUAUGCACCAUCAUGCCCAUCUAAUUUUUUAAUUUUUUGUGGAGACAGGGUUUUGCUGUGUUGCCCAGGCUGGUCUCAAACUCCUGGGCUCAGGCUGUCCUCCCACUCAGCCUCCCUAUGUUAUCUCCUUUUGAUUGAUGAAGAAUUGAAGGCUCAAAACAAUUAAGUAAUUUGUACAAGAUCCCAUAGCCAGUAAGUGCCAGAGUGGGGCUUGUGUCUGACCAAGGUCCAUGGACUUCCAGUUAGUAACAUUAUGUGAUCAUGUCCACUGAAAAAAUUGUAGAAGAAAAUGUGGUUUCUGGGAGCACACCAGAUGAUUGCUCGGUAUUUAACAUAGUUUUCUAUACCAGGAUAUAUAUGCUAGGGGCUUAAAUGCUGGGAUUCACUAAUGAGUUAGACCAGCAUUUUCCAAACUGUGUUCUGUGAAAUACAAUAUCUUCUCCAAAGGCAUUCUGUGAAAUAAAUUUGUUCAAAUAAGUUUGGAAAAAGGCCAUAUUCUGUGUCCUUAUUGGAGAUUCACAUUAGCCUAAUAUAAUCUCUGAGAAUUGCUGAGCUUAAGAACCCUUUUAAACUUUUUUCUUAUUUAGUAUUUCCCACAUUUGGAAUAUACAUAUACAUACACACACUUGGAAUACACACAUGUAUAUACAUACACACAUACAUAGACACACAUAUAUAUUACACUGCAUCAAUAUUUUGCUUGACAUUAAUGCUCUGUGAGAUUCAACUUGAAAAAUGCUGAAUUAGACCUACUAUAUUUUGAAUUUUUAUUUUAUAAGGUUGGACUCUCACCCUAUAUUACUUUUGAAUGUCAGUUGUAGAAAGUGAGAACUUGGCCUGCUAUGCUUUGAGUUCCUGACUCUUCUUGAAUUCCUAGUGAAGGGAAGUUGAUUGCUUAGGGAGCUGAUGGUGGUAGAGAAAACUCAGACCAUACUAUUCCCUUCUUUCUGGGUGGCACCACCUAGGGGUCUAUUAUAUUGUCUUUGUAGAGACACAUUAGGUAUAACUCUACUAAAGCUUUCAGCAUAGUUCUCUAUUUCAUUUCUUCUUGAAUUUCCAACCCAGAAAUUACUACAUAAGCUAUUUCUUAUUUUCCAUAACAUCUGUAUUCUUCUGCAACAAUUCUAAAAAUGAAUGUCUUUUCUUUCUUUGUUUUUUCUUUCUUUCUCAUACAAAUCUGCUCUCGACAUUGGUAAAAUAGUUAUUGAAUUCAUUCACACACAGAGGCUCAAUUUGUAGACUCUCUUUAAAAAUAUAUAUAUAUAUAUUUAUUUAUCUAUCUUUCUGUAAAACCACUUAUCAAAAGAGAUUUUCAGUGUGAUUACCUUGACUUUUAUCUUAUAGAGUACUUACAGCUGAUUGAUAUUAAGAUCCUGAUUGAUAUUAAGAUCCUGAACUAACUUAUUAUUUGAGAGUCAGCCAUAAUUUGUUAUAAUUUACAUUUUAAACAUGGCAAGACUCAAAGAUUUAAUAUAAAGGUGUGGCUCAGUAGUUCUAAAUAUGAAUCAUGGAUUACUUGUACACAAAUCUCACAAAACACAUUUUUUAUUUAAAAAAAAAAGAUAAGAAGUAUGAAAGGGGAAAAAUCACCAUCACUGAAUUUUCAUCAAGGUAGGAUAAUAAUUAACCCAAAUUUUCUUGUAAUUAAAAGAUUAAACUAUAAUAGGAGACUUUGCUAAAUACAUUACUUAAACAUCAGUUUCGCCAAAAAAAAAAGUGCAUAUAAAAAGUACCUCAUGACUCUGUUUUAAUUAGUUCUGUUGUCAUUGUCAUUGUGCAAUUGGAAAUGGUGUACACUAUCUGGGAAAACUUUUGUAGAACAUACAGGCAUUUAUAUUAGAUUUAGAAUGUAGUCCUUCUUCGAGGCCCUGGGAAAGAAAUAGAGAUGGGUCCUUGUAAAUUAAAACCUUACGCCUCAUGUGUUUAAAGAGGCCUCUCUGAUUGGCUAAGAUGUGGGGUGCUGAGUUUGCAAUCAUUUCAGUGCAGACAUUUUAGGAGAAUAAGUAAGACUUGUGCUUCUGUAAGUCAACAUUUCUGUUCUCCCUUCUAGAUGAUUUGUUUGUGUAUGAGGGAAAUAAUGUUAUGCAUCUGUUAAAAUUACAGUCUGAUCAAAUCGUUUUCUUCUUGUUCGUUUCUUGCUUUAACCUGAAAUCUCCUGGCCGAAGGUAACAGGGAAGUCAAUUUAUGGUUUCUAAAGUGUGG